AAGACCAUAGUCUAAUUUUAUGACAUAUGAGUUGCAUUCAUAAAGUGUUUCUAAAAACUGGUUUUA
Molecule: non-coding RNA, 66 nt
Organism: Scylla paramamosain (green mud crab)
Lineage: Eukaryota; Metazoa; Arthropoda; Malacostraca; Decapoda; Portunidae
Source: the annotation of a RefSeq genome assembly